UUGACUUAGGAAAAACUAAAACUCCGUGUUAUUCAUAUUGGAAAUCACCAGUCAUGCUCAACAUUGAAGAACAAAUAUAUACACAACAACGAAACCAAACGACAAAAACUAAAUAUCCCAAAAGGGCUAAUAAGUUGCUCUUGGCAAACAAAAUACAAAAGAAACUUAGAUUAUUAUUAUGAUGAUAAAAUUAGUCUAGCUUCCCCAAGUAGCCCAGUUAGCUUCACUUCCGACACGUGGCAUCAUUUGAUUCCUUGACUGAGAAUCAACAUUGAAAUUGGCCCCACACAUAACACCCUCACUGUCAAUCCUAGGCAUUGCUUUCAUCUUCUUGGUUGGAUGUUCAAAGUUCAACAGACCAUGCUCACUAUGAAACAGACACCCUGAAAUUUAUGCAUUAAAUUCUAUUAGUCCGUAGACAAUUUUUCACAUUAUCUAAGUAAUAGUACCAAAUUAAAAAAUGCAACAUGUUAUUAGUAAUUUACAAAAUCAUUUAUGAUCUUUCCAUAGGGUAGUUAAAAAAUCAUGACUUUGCAAACCAAAUUUACAUACCAGUUGGAAAUGGUGCAAAUGAUUUAGCACAGCUAGCUUUUACAAGCUCCAAAUUUUCAGAAAUAACCACAGAACCAUCAGCAGCAAUACCCCAAUAGAGGCCAAUAUGGCCAUCAGAACCCUAAUCAAACACAAACAUAAUUGUCAAUUAAUUAAUCACAAAAGGUGAAUUUUUAUUUAGAGGCUAAUUAAGAAAGUGACUCACAGAUGCAGCAAAAACAGUUCCGUCCUUAUGGUCAUAGAUCACAAAUGCAAAACUGCCUUCAAGUCCUUUGAGGACUUGAUCAGCAGGGUAUGGACCCCUGUCACGAAGUGUCCGAUACGCUUCAAUAAUAAACAUAGCCUCAUUGCCUCCCUUUGAUAGUCCAUACUGCUUGUUCAAUUGACUAAGAUUAUGCAGGUUACCCAUGAAAGCACAGUAUAUGUUGUCCAAACCACUAAACAACCUGUGUGACACAUUUCUUGUAUUAGCAAUAGAACUCAAUAAACUUAUAACAUAAGUUUCAUUUUUCAACUACCUUUUUAUUUACCUAGAUCUAGUUCAGGUCAUUUUUUAGAACACGCUUUUUUAUAAAAUCAAGAAAAUUGAUUGCAGUUAAUUUUUUCUUAAUAAAUGUAAAAUUAGUUAAUUUGUUGAUGAGAUAUCAUGUAGUUUGACCUAAUAUUAUUUGAUAUAUGAUUGCAUAUAAUCUUUUCUCCUACAGUUUGCAGGUCUAAUUUUAGCCAUAAACUUAGAUUCUUUGUGCCUACAAUCAAAUCUGAAACCUAUAGAAGAUAAAAUUAUAUACAGUAUAUCAAAAAAUAUGAAACUAAACUUUAUAAAAAAAAUGAAAUAUUAGUCUAAAUCUAAAUAUUUUAAAUUUAAAGUGAAACUCAUAUCACAAAGGAAAAAAAAAAAAAACUAAAUGGAUUAUCAUUAAUUUAUAAUUAGAAGGUAUUUAUAGCAUACCUUUGAUGAAUGGAGGGUUUGUUUGAAGGGGAAUAGGCUAAUAAAGCAUCAUUUCCAAAAGUCAUGUAGAAUGCAUUAGAGGAAUUACAUGACAUGAAAUCUCUAAGGAUCUCAUGACUUGGUUUAGCCUUAGUGUGUGAAUUAGAAGCUGGACUGUUAAGCUCCUUUGGUGCAUUAACCAACUUUUCCUUAAAAAUUCCCAACAUGUUUUCUUCUAGAUCAAAAACUUUGCUUCAAAUCUUUGUUUAAGUAAUAAUUAUUAGCUGCAAAAAAAAAUGAAAAAUUAGCAAUGAUUAUGUAAAAGAAAAAAAAAACAUAAGCAAAAAAGACACAGAGAGUGAAAAAAAAUGAACAUACCAAGAAUUGGAG
RNAcentral lists this long non-coding RNA (1870 nucleotides) under Medicago truncatula (barrel medic). RNAcentral describes it as "lncRNA gene7556". Lineage: Eukaryota; Viridiplantae; Streptophyta; Magnoliopsida; Fabales; Fabaceae. The record is from RNAcentral.